UACGUAGGUGGCAAGCGUUGUCCGGAAUUACUGGGCGUAAAGGGCGCGUAGGCGGCCUGCUAAGUCAUACGUGAAAUCCCUCGGCUCAACCGGGGAACUGCGUGUGAUACUGGCGGGCUUGAAUUCGGGAGAGGGAUGCGGAAUUCCAGGUGUAGCGGUGAAAUGCGUAGAUAUCUGGAGGAAUACCGGUGGCGAAGGCGGCAUCCUGGACCAUUACUGACGCUGAGGCGCGAAAGCUAGGGGAGCAAACGGG
RNAcentral lists this ribosomal RNA (253 nucleotides) under uncultured bacterium. Its description in RNAcentral is "partial 16S ribosomal RNA". It matches the Rfam family "Bacterial small subunit ribosomal RNA", at positions 524 to 776 of the family's 1533-position model. The record is from RNAcentral.